Molecule: non-coding RNA, 29 nt
Filed under: Homo sapiens (human)
Lineage: Eukaryota; Metazoa; Chordata; Mammalia; Primates; Hominidae
Source: RNAcentral
UACCGCUACAAGAUAGCUGAUGUCGAAAU